Long non-coding RNA from Dromaius novaehollandiae (emu), 6316 nucleotides. RefSeq lists it as uncharacterized. The transcript is spliced from 2 exons. NCBI's taxonomy places the organism in Eukaryota, Metazoa, Chordata, Aves, Casuariiformes, Dromaiidae. The record is from RefSeq and is a predicted model, not a curated record.
CCUGGAGAAUGUAAGAGGGAGAAGAAUCGGUGGAAGAUAAAAAAGGCAGCAGCAAAGUCACCAUUAUUCCAUUAGAGACAAAUACAAAAGCAGGUGGUAUGGCCUAUCCAUAAUUUUAAAGAAAAAAAGUGGCGAGUGUUCCUAUUGCUCAAUAGUGACCCUUCCAGCAAAUAAAGGAGCCGCACUGAAGGGAUCCAAAAAAGUCACAGUCCAGCCCCUGACAGCAUCAAAAAGCUGGUAGUUACAGCAUCAGUUUAGUGGGUAAUGGUAAUGAUUGAGAAGAGUCCCAAAUCUUUUUACUUUGAGAUUAUUGCAAUUGUCCAAUCAAAAAAAGCAGAAGUGCCAAUAACUAUUCUAAAACUUAUUACAUGGAAGAAACCAGAAAUGCCAAGAUGAGGAAAGAAACUAUGAAUUCAGUUACACAGAAGAAAUGCUGCCAGUUUAUUGGAUGCAAUGCAUUUAUUUCUGAAAGUGCAUUAGAACCAGAAACUGACUUUUUAAUCCAGCAAGUCUCCAGGACUAUGCUACACAUAGCCUCAUGGAACACAGGUUCCCAAACAAGCAGCUAACAAGAUAGCAGGCGAUGCAGGAUUGGAGUGGAGGAAAUAGGACAAAGACUAAAAACGGUCAUCCCCAAACAGUAGAGUGACAGCUAGCACACAUUUGCAUCCUUCUGUCUCUGCUUAAAAUGCCUGCCUAUAGGAUGAGCCACAAAAUGCAUUACAAGCUCAGAAGACAGUAUCUGGCAUCCUAAUCACAGAACACUUUGAAAACAAGUUCAACAUGAAAUGAUAAAAAUAUGAUUUAGGGAUCCUGUCAGAAAAUUGGACCUGUAAUCUAACAUAGUGGGGAGGGAAGAAGUAUUCUGACAGCAAAAUUAAACUCAGAGAUUAAAAUUACCCUUUUUAAAUAACCAAAGUAAAAGUUAGAGACUAUCAGCUGAGCAGACUUCAUAAUCCUUUUCAGACUCCAAAAAGACCACUUGAUUGAAUACAUUUACUACUUCUUUUUAACCAUGAAUAUUUGAUGAAGUUUCACAAUAACUUAUUACUGCUUCUCACCAGGCAAUAAAACUUAAUGAAUUGGUCUCAACUUAACAAAACCAUACUCCUCAAUACAACCCCUAAAAGCCUGACAUUACAUUCAACAAAAUGAGCUUACAUUCAAUUCAAACUUUCCUCCAGACAAUGAACCCAGGUUUUUACUUAAUGGAGUUUGCCGUGAGUUCAGCUGUAAUGUUUGUAUUGUAUCUAUUUCCACAAGGACUGACACAAGAACACUUUGUGUUAACUUACUAAGCAGCUCUUUCACACCGUUUACAUGCAUGAUGGGUAUUAGUUCUGAACCAAGACCCUUGCUACUUAGCAUUCAAAACAGGAAAAUUAAGAUGCUUAGAACAAAAUACACUACAAAAGGCUAAUACAACAUGCUACUAAUUCCUGUUCUUUCAACCAUAGUCCCUUAAGUAGAAGCAAUGCACCUGCAAAUGAAUAGCACUUUAUCAUUCAGUUACAUUUUUAGUAUAGAGAAAGAUGGAUGUAGUUCAGCACAAACAAGUUUUAUUCUUAAUGGUUUGGUACUACCAACAUUUAUAUUUAUAUCUGUAGAGAGAGCUAUUAAGCAGUUAAUAUGUAGCUCUACAAUACUUGGUGUUAGAAACCAAUUGAAAUGCACAGUCCUUACAUCCAUUUCAUUCUCAAAACAAAGAAGAUGCAUUUAUUGGAACCUUUUCUGUUCUUUCUGAAGCAAUACCGAUUAAAUAUUUUUUCUUUACAUUUGCCGAUUUUGUUGGGUUAUGCAGAAAUGGCAAUAUUUUUGCAGAAUCAAUGAAUUAUGUUAAGUAAUAAGGAAAGAAUACAUGCAACAACAUUUCAAAAAAUUAAUCUUUGUUUUCAACAAUACAAGUGCAUUAUUUACAGAGAUCUUAAGUCUUCACUGCUGAUAGAGUUGUAGGAAACUAACUAAGAAUCUGUAUGAUUUUAAUUUUAUAUAUCUGAAAAAAGGUGUACAAAAUAAUCUAGAAUUCAAACAGAACUUCCAAGCAGUUCCGUUUGAACUGAUCAGCAAGAUCAGCUCAACUAAUCUUUGCAAUAACUCAGACUAUGUGGAAAAACAUCUAAAUGAGUGAAUAUGCAGUAUGGAGUAUUAUAUGUAAGGUACACCUAAAACUUUGCUCCCCUCACAUAUGCAAGUUUCUUCAUCUACCAGUGAUAAGGAAGACAAACUUUUACAUGUUGAAAGCAUGCAAGGUGCAGCCCUUACUGACUGCCACCACAGGAAAAUCUUGCUUUCCAUAAAACAGCAUUAAAUCAUGAGAUCAGAAACUUAGCAGAUAGAGCAACAGAGAGUUCUUAGUGCUAUGACUACAAAGUCUUUUUACCUGCUGUCUUCCAAAGAACCUUCCCUUGAAAUGGAGCCUGGCAUGAUUCAAGCAAUGAAAGAAAUGGGGUUCUUCCAUUAUUUUUAUGGAUUAUCAAGAUCUCCAUUUCUUAGAGGGAAUCCCAGAAUCCUCAGUUUGAGUGGUGGCUUAAGUUUAAAUGACCCAAGUUUAAGUUAGUGAUUCCUGGAGUACAGAAAUCUGGAAGCAUCACUAGCAUACAACUAGUAUAUUUCUUUAAUACCUGUACUCUUAUGGAAAUAUCCAUUAUAUACAAGGCACUUCCCAAACACUUCUCUGAAGUGCUAACAAUCUGAGGAGUUACUGAAAUAUGUUUACUGUCUUUCCCUUGUGCAUGUGGCUUAAACCCCCCCCCCCCCCCCACACACACACAUCAGUGAGAGGUUUGUUUCUUUUACCAAAGCAAGGCACUCAUCUUACCAAUUGGCAUUGCUUUGGCCAUCUAUUUCUAUGCUCUGGACCAAGCAGCAUAUAAAAUUUAAAUUUCAUGGGAAAGCCUUUACUGAGUAUUUGCAUGAAGCAGCUAGGCACUGCUGAAAUUUCAAAAAAUUCAGAUUUUUUUCAGCAGAUACUGUCUGUCAUCUUCUAUCCUCAAAUCAUUUCUUCACUGCACUUGCCCACUAUCCUGAAAAUAAGUUAUCCCCCAUGAAAUGCCAUAGAAAUAGCUAUUCUGUUUCUAGUAGUCAGAGCAGCACAGGUAUAUCUAUAUAGCACUGUAUUUAGCUGUGUUGAUGCACUCUGUUCAGAAAAUAAUCCAGCUGACUACUGGUCAAACAUAGGCAAAGCAUGUUAUGACAAAGUGUACAAGAACCUGAAUGAAGCCAAGACUUGUUAAGCCUAUGUUUUAUAAAAGUAUUGCCUGUAAUGUAUUACCUUCAUAAACAGAAGCAUGUGAGGUGAUGAUGGGAAAUACAUUAUGGACUUGUAAGCUAAACUUGCUUUGUAGUAGGACAUGAGUAGUGUCUCUUUGUACAUUGUUUGACUGUGGAUAAUUUUAAUACAGAGAUGAUUCUUGUACUAGCAGGCAGUUACAAUAUUUGAAACAGUAUGUACAUGGUAUACAAAGUGUCUGUUUUUAAAUAAUUUUAGAAGUUAUGUGAAAGCAGAAGUUCUAAGUUAUUUGCAUUAGUUUCAGUUGAGAGAAAUGGAACCACCUGAAGUUGCACUGUGUAAUGAAAGUAUGUCCAAUAUAAAAGUUACAGUUUCAUUAACUUUUGUACUACAGCAGAAAGAUUAGACCAGUUGCAAAGCAAGAUACUACAUUUAUGCUAAGGACUAUUUUAGAGGUUAGUGAAAUACUUUUUUCUCCUCCUUCCAUGAAGUCCAGAUGAAAAGGAGGGUACUUCAACAGCUGCAAAUCUGCAAUCAGUGACAAUUCAGAGUGUGGAUACUGCCCAGCUGGAUACUCCUACCAUAAAAGCCAGACCAAUCAUGUAAACAAUGCUCCUUACUCAUUCUGUCAUUCUUCUAUCACAUGCACAUGAAGCAAGAACACUUCAUUCUAGGUGGGUUUCAUGGAGUAAGGAAUGGAAGAAUGUGUUGAAUGAAUGGAAUAACGUGCACUUAUGUUCAUGUUAAAGUUUCAGAGAAUCAGAGCAGAUGCAAACAAAGUAGUUGCACCAAUAUUACACUGGUAUUUGUCCCAAUAUUAUCAGAAUAAUUAGGGGGGUCUCUUUUUUUUUUUUUUUUACUGGCUUUACUCCCCCACCCCAAGCUUAGUAUUAAACAGUGUCUUUGCCGGUGGUAUAAAAAUACUCACUAUUGUGGCAUCUACUCAAACUCAGUAACUUACCAAACAAGCAUUUUAUUCAUGCUGAUGGAGUUAUGGCAGUUGCUCCACAGUAAUUGCAACCAGUGUUCUUUGAUCAUAAGAGAUUUAUGAUUGGGGGAUGAAAUUAGAGACUAAGGCAGGAUUUUCUGAGAAAAAUUUAAGUUAAGAUACUAGAUUCCUAAACACCCUCUAUGUAUUUAGAAUUAAAAUAACUUAUGUAUGUAAAAUUGGAAGGAAUAUAAUUCUUAGCUUAAGCAUUAAAGUGACAGUUCAGCUACAUUAGCAAGGUAGCUCAAGACAACAGGAACACAUUUAAAUGUUGAAUGAGUUACAUAUGUGUGUGUGCAAUGUUGUAGGAGUUAGUGUUGCUAUUGAAGCUCAUGGGGUUUUGGAUUUGUUUUUUUUGUUCUUUCAUAAGCAUAUGUUAACUGUUGAACUACAACUUCAUUGCUGCUUUACUCUUAAAAAUGCAGAUGAAGAAAAGAUUUUCCUGAUAAUAAUUAGAAAGCAAUUUUUCAAAAAGGAAGAAGUACAAGUGAGAGGUUUCCUAACAAGGUAAAGUUUUGCCCCCUCAAAAGCAAGGGGAUGGUUGUUUUUGUCUUCUUGGGCUUGAUUCAGAGAGCAACAUUGUUGAAGCAAAGUAGCAGAGAGUUAAAUAAAAAAAGUGCAAUUCUGAAUCAUCAUGGAACAACUGAGGUCUCAGAAAAGAAUACCUGCUGUUAUAUGCAAACUACAUUUAAAAGAGGAAGGACUAGAAGCUACAUAGUAGUAGCAGCAUUAAAAAGAGUAUAAGUCUACUUCUCCCUCCUGCCCCCCCAAAAGAGGAAGAGAGCAGCUGAGAUAAGGCAAUUGUUGUCUUAAUUAAAAACCCACUAGCAGAGUCUCCUUGAAAUCUAACACAAUUGCUUAUCAGAUUUGUUGACAAAACUCACUUGGAUGUCUCCUGUUAUUUCUGUCCUUUCCUUUGGUUUUAAAAAGGUGCAAGAGGAAAAACAGAAUAUUAGAUCUAGUCACAAAAUUAUUAUUUGUAAUAAUGUUUAACUGAAAGAAAAAUACUUCACAAGUAGAGUAGUUUAGAGACUUCAAAAUUUUGGAUAGAAUGACAUUUUGGCUCAUGAGCCUAAGGUAAUUGUAUAUUAAGAAUUCAAUUAAAAUUUACAGAACAGACCAUUAGUAGCAGUUCUGAGAAGUGUUUAACAGUUUCAUUAAUUUUAUUUUCUCAAUAAGUGAUAUCCUACAUAAUGUAAUUACAAUACUGACAGCAGUUCUCCCAAACUGAAGUUUAGGCUUCUGAAUGACAAUAGAACUUGCAGAAGGCUCUGGAGACUGCUUAGAAGAACAGCAGCAACAGAAGUGUCUAACAGUUCUAAUAAAAGAUGCCAUUUGUAGUGCUUGAAGAGAAACCUGCUGAAGUGUUGGAAAGAUUAAGAAUUAGACAGAUGUCUUAUUCUUCUCUUAUCAUUAAAUUAUUACUGCUGCAUGUAAUAAAGCUGCAGCUAUAAAUGAACCUAACAAAAGUUCAGUUAUUCUGCUUGCAUUCUGGAUGUUCCAGUGAACAAGUUAGCCAUAAUCAAGAGUUCUCCAAAGCCUAGAGUUGUAUAUUUCCUUCUAUUCAGAUUUGAAACAAUUUUUUCAAAUGUCUUGUCUAAUCCAGAUGUUGGGGCAAGGGGUGCGGAAAACCCAAUCCAACAAUGCUUUUCAGAGUUUUCCUUCCCGUUUUUACUUUUUCCUCAACUAUGAGCUCCGUCACUAAGGUCAUUAUAAAAACAACACAUACUUUAGAUUUAUACCAUACUAUUGGAUAUAUACCAUAUAUAUACACCAUACUAGGAUUGGGGUGGAUGGGCGGGGGAGAACAUACUGAAUAAUUCAAAAAAGUGGGGUAAAAUGCAAUUCCAGUGCACCCUGGUAACCUGCUAAUGACAUUAUUAUGCAGAGACAGGAUUAAGUUUCUAUAACUGUACUUUAACUGCACUAAUCUCAGAAAAAUUAGACUGUUAUCCUAUUCUUGUAUUUGAAUAUUUACAUUAAUAAGUACAUAUUAAGACCUGAGUGGAUUUGAGGCAUAAGAAAGUUUAAGCAGGUGUUAAUAUAAAUACUGUGCGUUUGAUACUGGAAUAAAGUGGUGUUACCUAGUUUUAGUUGAA